GGAUGGUGCAAACGUUCAACGGAAUUACUGGGCGUCGGGAGGGGGAAUGGGGGUUGUUAUCUCAGCUGUGAAACCCCCUGGCUCAGCCUGGGAUCUGUCUUUAAUACUGGUCUAGUAGACUAAGAUAGAGGGAGGUAUAUUUCCUUGUGUAGCGGUGAUGGGCGUACAUUUCUGGGGGAAUACCUGUGGCGAAGGGGGCCUCCUGGCUCGAUACUGACGCUGAGGUGCGAAAGCGUGGGGAUCAAACAGGAUUAGAUACCCUGGUAGUCCACGCCGUAAACGAUGUCUACUAGCCGUUGGGAGACUUGAUUUCUUAGUGGCGCAGCUAACGCUUUAAGUAGACCGCCUGGGGAGUACGGCCGCAAGGUUA
Molecule: ribosomal RNA, 370 nt
Filed under: uncultured bacterium
Lineage: Bacteria
Description: bacterial SSU rRNA
Rfam family: Bacterial small subunit ribosomal RNA
Source: RNAcentral